UCGAGAAUCUUGCACAAUGCGCGAAAGCGUGAUGCAGCGACGCCGCGUGAAGGAUGAAGGCCCUCUGGGUCGUAAACUUCUUUUAACGGAGAAGAAUCAAUGACGGUAUCCGUUGAAUAAGCCACGGCUAACUACGUGCCAGCAGCCGCGGUAAUACGUAGGUGGCAAGCGUUGUCCGGAUUUACUGGGCGUAAAGCGUGGGCAGGCGGACAUUUAAGUAGGAAGUGAAAGGUUGGGGCUCAACCCUAACACUGCUCCCUAUACUGGGUGUCUUGAGUGGUGGAGAGGAAAGCGGAACUACACGUGUAGCGGUGAAAUGCGUUGAGAUGUGUAGGAACACCGAUGGCGAAAGCAGCUUUCUGGACACAAACUGACGCUCAGCCACGAAAGCCAAGGGAGCGAACAG
RNAcentral lists this ribosomal RNA (406 nucleotides) under uncultured bacterium. RNAcentral's name for it is "bacterial SSU rRNA". It matches the Rfam family "Bacterial small subunit ribosomal RNA", at positions 355 to 775 of the family's 1533-position model. The record is from RNAcentral.